GACGAACGCUGGCGGCGUGCUUAACACAUGCAAGUCGAACGGAAAGGCGAUGAUUGCAGGGUACUCGAGUGGGGAACGGGUGAGUAACUCGCGGGUGAAUUGCCUUGCACUUAGGGAUAAGCAAGGGAAACUGGGUGUAAUAAAGGAUAGGUGAUAUUUUUAGCGUGAUGGUUGGAAAGUUUUGUCGGUGUAGGCUGAGAUUGAGGCAUAUCUGCUUGUUGGAGGGGUAAUGGCGUACCAAGGCGGCGACGUGUGGCCGGCCUGCGUGGGUGGCCGGCCACCUUGGGACUGAGAGGCGGCCCAGGCUCCGACGGGUGGCAGCAGUGGGGAAGAUUGCACAAGGGGCGCAAGCCGGGUGCAGCGACGCCGCGUAGGGGAUGACGGCCUUCGGGUUGAAGACUCCUUGCGCUAGGGACGAAGCUUUUUGUGACGGUACCUAGAUAAGAAGCACCGGCUAACUACGUG
Molecule: ribosomal RNA, 465 nt
Filed under: uncultured bacterium
Lineage: Bacteria
Description: partial 16S ribosomal RNA
Rfam family: Bacterial small subunit ribosomal RNA
Source: RNAcentral